This is a non-coding RNA of Pimephales promelas (fathead minnow), 489 nucleotides long. NCBI's taxonomy places the organism in Eukaryota, Metazoa, Chordata, Actinopteri, Cypriniformes, Leuciscidae. The record is from RefSeq and is a predicted model, not a curated record.
UUCAAACCGCGCGUUGUUGACAUUCAAUCAUGGCGCUCGUGUUUUGUAUCAGUAUCGCUAACAUUUCAAUAUUUCUGUGAAUGUAAGUGAGCUAUGCUAAUAUUCUGAUUUUAAAUGUGAAUAGCAACACCUGAAAUACGUAAUCCCAUUGAUAAUACCAGAGCACUGAGCAGUUAAAGUAAAUAAAAAACUCGGCUCAUAACAUGGACGGAGUUUUUGCACUGACGGAGCAAGAACAAUCUCCUCCCACAGCAAUUACAUCAUCAGUGAAGCUCCUCCUACUGUAAUUCCCCUAUAAAUGCUGUAAAUUCCUAUCAGCUGCAAGUGAAGACGAUCAUCAGAGCAUCAGGAAGAGCUGAAAUCUGCAGUUUAUUAAAGAGGACAGUGAGAACAUGAGUGAUCCAGAACCCUGUAGAAUGAAACACACUGAAGAUCCUGAAGAACAAAGAGAAAUCGGGACUCAUCAGACCAGACAACAUUUUUCCAGUC